This 4692-nucleotide long non-coding RNA is filed under the name Homo sapiens (human). RNAcentral's name for it is "HSALNT0332099". The record is from RNAcentral. Lineage: Eukaryota; Metazoa; Chordata; Mammalia; Primates; Hominidae.
AAGAGGUGAAUGUGUCAUGAGGGCUCUCUGCCCUCAUGAGUGGAUUAAUCCAUUCAUAGAUUAAUGGAUUAAUGAAUUAAAGGGUUGUUUUGGGAGUGGCUGGCUUUAUGACAGGAAGAGAGGCCUGUGCCUGCCCAGUGAGCUCUCUCCCCACAAGAUGCCCUGUGCUGUCAUGAGACUCUGCAGUGUCCCUACCAGCAGGAAGGCUCUCCCCAAAUGCAGCCCCUUGACCCUGGACUUCCCAGCCUCCAGAACUUGAGAAGAGGAACAAAUGGAGGAACAUCCCAGUCAAGUGACAUUCCUAGUGACAUUCACCAGAACAGAGUCAAGCUUUGGAUCCCAUGUUCUGUGACUUCCUCUUCACCACGCUUCCUCCACACACGUAGCAGCUCAAGGGUUUCUGAUGAGUGGGGUCUAUGUUCCCUUUAUGAGCUGUAACGCACACCAUGAAGGUCUGCGGCUUGGCUAUUGAGUCAGUGAGAGCGUGAACCUACUAUUAGAAGAAAAACUCUGAAUACGUCUGAACGUCAGAAAGAACGAAGUUUGGACACAUUGUCUUUAAGAACUGUAACACUCACCCCAAGGGUUUAUGGAUUCAUUCUUGAAAUCAGUGAAACCAAAAGCUUUCCAAAGUUUAACACACAGGGAAAUGACUUACUGCAAAGAACCACUCUUCCCCACGAGACUUCGAGAAGACCCGCUGUCACGGACUGAGUUGUGUCCUCUUAAAAUUCAGAUGUUGGAGUCCAAACCCCCAGUAACUCAGAGUGUGAACGUAUUUGAAGAGGUCUUUAAAGAGGUGAUGAAGGUCUUUGUCUCUGACAAUUUGCCUCUGUGACGUGGAUGGGACUGGAAGUCCAUUUGGAGCCCUGUCUUCUCCACCUAGGGAGAGAGACCCCAUGAGCUCGUCAAGCUCCUUCUGUGACUGAUCAGAGAUCCCACCGUGAGUCCAGCUCCUGGUCCCAUGCUCUGGAUAUAUCGGUCCCUGGCAGCGUGCAACUCCUUAGCCAAAGACGUGGCAACUGCGGGUGAAGUAUCUCUGGGCAGGAAAUCAAUGCAGAAAUGCAACUGGGGAGAGGGGGCUUGGGGGCCAGUUCCAGGGAGAUUGGAACUGCUGUGUUCUCAUCAGCAGAAGUGGCCCCUGCCCACCCCCAUCCUAAUCCCUUCUCAUGUGGGAGAAGGUCUGUGAGCCCUCUCCCUACCAGGCAGGUUCUAUGGCAAUGUGGGCACAUACCCUGGGGCAGGGGCCGAGGGACUUAACUCACUUCAUGAGCGCCAAUGGAGGAGCGAAGGGAAUGCCUGAUGAAAACAACAUUCUACCAGUAUGCACUGUUUUCUAACCUACAGAGUGCCUCUGUGUUCACUGUCCCAUUUGAGAAUUCUAAGUAGAAUUCUGAACAGGCUGGAGCAGAUUGCCCACCCCAAGGGACAGAUGUUGGCUGGUACUGUUGGUAUUCAUGGAAGAUUCCUUCUGACACUCCCUCCUUCUUUGUAAUUGCCAUGAACUGGAGCACUGGGCCAAUAUAAAUCAUCCAAGGGUGAACACGCUGCACAUGGACGGCUCCUCUUUGUUUUUGAAGGGAUUCCAUCUCUAUUUUGCCAUGUGCUCCUUCACCCCACUCCCCACCCCCGUCUUUCAUUUCUUUCUCUGGAAAAGAUACUUCAACUCACAGGACUGCGAUGUUGAAACGGACACCCAAGAGCAUCACAGAUGGGCCAGGCCUGGACCUCUCGGGACAACAUUCCUCACGACUUUUAGAUAGAAGAGAUUAGAGAUUUGGGACUGGUGGCAACUGGUAACGUUUUCAGUGUUUGGUAAACAGCCAGGGUCCGGAGCUCUGGGAACAGCCUGAUUUAGCUCUUUGUUUAAGUUUUGUGUUAGAGGCUCCCAAGAAGCUGAUGCAGGGGAAAGAAAUUAACAACCAUGGCUCAUUCACAGCCAGGCAGCCAAAUGGACAGCUCUAUAAGACUCAAGCCGACAGCGGAGAGAGUGCAACCAAACAGCCUUGGCCCAGCUUUCAGAGGAGAACGUUAUUCACCCCAACUGCUCUGCAUCUGCCUGGAUGUCUGCCAAGAUCUGUGAGCAUUACAGCGUUGGUAUGCUUUGGGUGAGGCCUGUGGCUAUGGCAACAAGUUGGGAGCAACCCGGUCCCUGGGAAUGAGAACAGUGUCUAAAAUCAGGCAGGCGAGGGGCAGGGAGGAGAGGUAAAGGUUGGACUUGCCUGAAGAUGGAGCCGUUUUAUUGUUGUGGGUAAAGCUGCUACCAUUAGGGGCUGUUUACAGAGUGGGUGCAGCUCAAGCUGGGAGCAUGUUAGACUCAGCGACUACGAUCAACCUAUUGACUUGUUCCCAUGAGACAGAGUAAAUUAACUGUUGCAGUACUGGUCAUGUACCACCAACCUCCUGUGAACCAGCCCUCAGUGAAACAUUUAUGUGAAAGGCCAUGGUGUUCCCAUAAGAGGGUGCAUGUUCUCUCCCUUGACUAACUCUUCAGUAUGCCUCAUUCUCACGCGCUGGUGUGCAGGAAGGAGUCCAACAUGCCCCAUUGACAGUCAUGCCCUGUAUGUGGAAAGUCUUCAGGUAGAGCACUGGGCUCAGGUUUGAAGAUGUGAGUUCUAAUCCUAGCAAGGCCAUUACCUCCCAGUGACCUCAUGUCUCGAUUUCCUCAACCACAAAACAAAGGCAUUGGUGAGCUGACCUCUAAGGCCUCUCCAGUUCUCACCUUCUGUGUCUCUACAGACUGGAGACUAGAAGAUUAUGGGCACUUUUAUUGAGUCUUCAUUUUGUUUCCAUUUCUUUGUAGUCAUCAGCUGGAGUUGAGGACAAGUUUUAACAAUAGAUAGGUUUCUUUUUGUCUCUUUUUAAAAAAUUUUAUUUAAAAUAAAUGCCAAGUGUAGUGGCUCAUACCUGUAAUCCCAGCACUUUGGGGAGGCCAAGGUGGGAGGAUUGCUUUUGAGUUUGAGACCAGCCUGGGCAACGUGGUGAGACCCUGUUUGUACAAAAAAUUUUAAAUUAGCCAGGCAUGGUGGCGUGUGCCUAUAGUCCUAGCUACUCUGGAGGUAGAGGCAGGAGGAUCCCUUGAACCUGGGAGGUUGAGGCCACAGUGAGCUGUGAUUGUGCUAUUGAACUCUAGCCUGGGCAACAGAGCAAGACCCUGUCUCUUAAAAAAGACUAUUUUUUAAGAACACUUUUAGGUUCACAGCGAAAUUUGGAGGAAACUUGGCAUAUGUCAUAUGCCCCCUGCUCCCAUGCAUGCACAGCCUCUACCAUUAGCAAUGUCCCCACUCAAAUGGUACCUUUGUUGUAAUCAACAACCCUGUACUGACACAUCAUCAUCACCCAAACUCCAUAGUUCACAUUAGGUUUCACUCUUGGUGUGGUGUACAUUCCAUGGGCUUGAACAACUGUAUAAUGACAUUAUCCACCACUGCAGGAUCAUACAGAGUAGUCUCACUGCCCUAAAACUACUCUGUGCUCCACCUGUUUGUCCCUUCUUUCACUCUAAACUCCUGGCAACAACUGACCUUUUUACUGCCUCGAUAGCUUUGCCUUCUUCGGAAUGUCAUGUAGUUGAAAUCAUACAUCAUGAAGCCUUUUCAGAUUGGCUUCAUAUAGGUUUCCUUCCUUCCUUCCUCCCACCACCUUCCUUUCUUUCUGUAUUCCUAACUCUUGGAUGUAUUUUCCCCAGCAUCAUGACUUGAUGGGACUUUUGCUAAGAUAGGCAAUCAUAGAAAGUCAUAAAUCUCUUGUCAGCCUUAUUGGCUCACCUCCGAGAUGGUUCCAACACUCUUUAAGGCCCACUUUUCCAAUCCACAGAUUCCCCAGCAGAAGUCCAAGCUGCUGAGCCUCACAUCAUCUUUUGCACUAGUAAUCUUUACCACUACUUCACUGUAGCAUUUGAAAAUUUUCAUAUGAAGCCAUAGUUCUGUGUCUUUUUUUUUUUUUUUUUUUUUUUGGAGACGGAGUCUUAACCUGUUGCCCAGGCUGGAGUGCAGUGGCACAGUCUUAGCUCACUGCAAGCUCCGCCUCACGGGUUCAAGUGAUUCUUGCCUCAGCCUCCCAAGUAGCUGGGAUUACAGGCGCGCCACCAUGCCCAGCUAAAUUUGUUGGCAUUUUUAGUAGAGAUGGGGUUUCACCAUGUUGGCCAGGCUGGUCUCAAACUCCUUACCUCAGGUGAUCUGCCUGCCUCAGCCUCCCAAAGUGCUGGGAUUAAAGGUGUGAGCCACCGCACCUGGCCUGAAGCCAUAGUUCUUAACCUCAGUUGUGCAAUAGAAUUAUCUGGGGAAUUUAAAAAUUAGAAAAAACCCAUGCCCUGAAGAUUGUGAUCUAACUGGUCUUGCGUAGCGCCUGGGCAUUGGUAUUUUUUAAAUGUUUCCCAACUGAUACUAAUGUGGCCAUUCUGCAAGCCACAGUUGAAAGGCUUAUUCAAGCAUCCUGUUGCUGAAUGCAUGUCGUCCUUACCACAUGACUCUGGAGGUUUUCUUGUAUUCUGAUGUGGCUGCCCUGUUGAGGCCUGCCCCUUAGAGUGGAGAUUAUCCCCUGCAGUAGGCUGCCUGGAAUAUGAUCCCCAGUGAUCCCUGCUUCCUGGUAUUCAGGCCCUGGUGUGAUCCCUUUCCCUUGAAGCCUGGGCUGGAUUAGUGACUUGCUUCUAACCAACAGCAUAUGGCAAAAAUAAAUGUUUAUUGUUUUAAA